This 574-nucleotide ribosomal RNA is filed under the name uncultured bacterium. RNAcentral's name for it is "partial 16S ribosomal RNA". It matches the Rfam family "Bacterial small subunit ribosomal RNA", at positions 355 to 920 of the family's 1533-position model. The record is from RNAcentral.
UGGGGAAUUUUGGACAAUGGGCGAAAGCCUGAUCCAGCAAUGCCGCGUGUGUGAAGAAGGCCUUCGGGUUGUAAAGCACUUUUGUCCGGAAAGAAAUCCUUGGCUCUAAUACAGUCGGGGGAUGACGGUACCGGAAGAAUAAGCACCGGUUAACUACGUGCCAGCAGCCGCGGUAAUACGUAGGGUGCAAGCGUUAAUCGGAAUUACUGGGCGUAAAGCGUGCGCAGGCGGUUUGCUAAGACCGAUGUGAAAUCCCCGGGCUCAACCUGGGAACUGCAUUGGUGACUGGCAGGCUAGAGUAUGGCAGAGGGGGGUAGAAUUCCACGUNUAGCAGUGAAAUGCGUAGAGAUGUGGAGGAAUACCGAUGGCGAAGGCAGCCCCCUGGGCCAAUACUGACGCUCAUGCACGAAAGCGUGGGGAGCAAACAGGAUUAGAUACCCUGGUAGUCCACGCCCUAAACGAUGUCAACUAGUUGUUGGGGAUUCAUUUCCUUAGUAACGUAGCUAACGCGUGGAAGUUGACCGCCUGGGGAGUACGGUCGUCAAGGUUAAAACUCAAAGGAAUUGACGGGGUC